CGGGGGGCAGCAGUAAGGAAUAUUGGUCAAUGGACGCAAGUCUGAACCAGCCAUGCCGCGUGAAGGAUGACGGCCCUCUGGGUUGUAAACUUCUUUUAUCUGGGACGAAAAACGGGCUUUCUAGCUCACUUGACGGUACCAGAGGAAUAAGCACCGGCUAACUCCGUGCCAGCAGCCGCGGUAAUACGGAGGGUGCAAGCGUUAUCCGGAUUUACUGGGUUUAAAGGGUGCGUAGGUGGGUAGGUAAGUCAGUGGUGAAAUCUUCAAGCUUAACUUGGAAACUGCCAUUGAUACUAUUUAUCUUGAAUAUCCCGGAGGUAAGCGGAAUAUGUCAUGUAGCGGUGAAAUGCUUAGAUAUGACAUAGAACACCCAUUGCGAAGGCAGCUUACUACAGGAUUAUUGACACUGAGGCACGAAAGCGUGGGGAUCAAACAGGAUUAGAUACCCGCGU
This 452-nucleotide ribosomal RNA is filed under the name uncultured Chitinophagaceae bacterium. RNAcentral describes it as "bacterial SSU rRNA". It matches the Rfam family "Bacterial small subunit ribosomal RNA", at positions 342 to 791 of the family's 1533-position model. The record is from RNAcentral. Lineage: Bacteria; Pseudomonadati; Bacteroidota; Chitinophagia; Chitinophagales; Chitinophagaceae.